Molecule: long non-coding RNA, 3484 nt
Organism: Hippocampus comes (tiger tail seahorse)
Lineage: Eukaryota; Metazoa; Chordata; Actinopteri; Syngnathiformes; Syngnathidae
Exons: 2
Source: RefSeq, a predicted model, not a curated record
AAUUUAAAAUUUCGGUGGAAAAUGUUCUCAUUUAUUUGACCCUUUUUAAAAGCACGUGGAGAUGCCGUCAAGUGCUUUCGCGUGGAUCCGUUUUUAAUAGCCAACCGGUCAACGUGACCGUUUCCUUGGAGUGUUUGUGCGGUCACAUGACUUUGAGCUUCAUAGCAGUACCGACAGAUUUGUGAAUGGUUUAACGGCGCAAUGUGCUGAUGUGUGUUUUUGUUGACAUACUCCGAUAUUACGGCCUGACUAGAUGAGAUAAGAUCUAUAGCACAUGUGUGUGUUUUCGCCGGGCAAAUUAUCCGGAACACAAUAGUCAGUGAAUCGAUGGUUAACUAUUGUCGAAUGUUUGGAACUGACGGUCGAUUAAUCAUGUCUUGAAGUAAUUUAAGCUCAUCGCUAGUAAUAAGCACUUUUUAGGCUGUGUGAAUGAUUGUGUAUGCGAAUAGAACUCGUCUAUGCUAAAAGUUGCGCGAGCUAAUGAACGUACAUGCUAAUUGAGCUAGUUUUUGCGGUUUCGGUGCAUUGUUUCAGUAGCUUCAGCCCGACAUUUGCCACGUGGACGUUUGCGCCGGGCUCUCCGUGUGAAAUGUCUCAGCGCCGUGGCGUGUUCAAAAUAAAUAAUGUAUCAACGAGUGGCCGUGAAGCGCAGUCGCGUAGCGCCUUGGCGGAGGUCAUUGAAGAGAUGUUGGUGAUAUGGGUCAGGUCGCAAUAUCAAAGCAACACGUGAGAUGUGAUCCUGACCUGUGACAAUUUAAAGGGAGGUCGAGGGGUUCGUGUGGUCACACGUAUGCUAAUGUUAGUGUAGCAUUUUGCUCUGCCUUAACUCUGCAUCGUGUUUUGUUUACUCUUUCUAAUUUUUCUGUUUCCACUGCCUGGUCCAGCAGAUUUGUUAUUUGUCAUUUCCACAUUUUCUGCAAAUCAUAAAAAAAUGAACGCGCAUGCUAAUGCUAGCGUAGCAUUUUGCUCCGCAUACUCCUGUAUGUGUCAACAAUAUACAUUCUGUAACGUUAAUCAUGAUAAACACCAUGAACAGAUUUAAAGCUAACUCGUAAACGGCUUGGCGCUAGUGUCGUUUACAGGAAGUACUUAACAAGUGGGCUACCAAUUACUUUUCAUUGUAGUUCCUCGACGUUGCGGUUUUUCAUGUGUAUGAUGUAUUAAGAAUCGUAAUAGCCGUCAAGUAAAUCAUUUUCAAUUUUUUUUGUUUUUUUUUGUAGGGAAUUGCAGUUAUUUUAUCUGGAAGUUUUCACCCAUGUCCCAUUGAGGUUGUUUUAUUGAUUCUCUUGAAUGCAGAGCUCGCGGCGUUGAAGUUUUUAUAUGAUGAUGACAACUGGACGUGAUGAAACUUGGGCGGAACCUUCCGGCGUAGAUGAGUUGCGCAUUAGCAUCAGUCAGCAGCUGGAGUCAAGUUAAUGCGAAUGCACUCCAAUGCCCUUUUAGUGCCUCUGUAAGGCUUCAGAAAGAAAGCAUUCCGGGUGGGGCUAUGGUCAAUAUUCAGAACUUGCUUUUCGACUUGGACCAAGUGCUCGUUUGCAGUCCUUGCAUGAAGAGAGCAUGCCCUCUUAAAUGUUACACAAGCCCUCCCUCUGACCAUGCAAGGCACAAAUAAGAUUUCUCAGUUAUCACCUUCAGUAAAAUAGGGAUACAGUAGAAGUGUUGCGGCAUUCCUUUGCAUUGCACACUUUUUUUUUUUUAUCUUGAACCUUUGAGAGUAAACAUAGCUAUCUUAGCAGCCACGUCAUACUACAUACAUAAAUGUGACACAGUGGCUUCUGAUACGCUAUGUUACUGACAGCUUUUAUCGUGUUUACUGCUUAUCAAAGCUUGGCAAAUCCAAAAUGUUACAAAACUAGCAGCUACACUAGCGUUGUACAUCACCACAAGGGCUUAUACAGGAUCCAUGCUUGACAUGAGCAGCUAAAUUAGCAUCUAAAUAUUCAUGAAAGCAAGUUUGUAGUCUGAUUAAAGGUCCAUGUUAGGUAGAAACGGCCAAAAAAAACCAGGCUCAUUUAAUUAUUCAUCCAUGCUUGUUACUAGCGGCUCAAGUAGCACAUCUGCUAAUUAACGGAGCUAAAGAUUAUUUAUUGUCAGCAGGAGCUGAAGUGUUGGCUAAAUUGGAAUAAUAUGCUAAUGAUUUUUUUAGAAACAGCUAAAGUAGUGUGCUAAUUAGCAUUUUGGCCGACAGCUAAAAUCGCUUUAUGGCUAACGACUAACGUAGAAAUUAAAAGGCUAAUGGCGCGCAUGUUGCCAAACUACUAAUCUGCGAUGGAUAACGCUCGUUUGACGUAGAUAAACUAGCCUGUUUUUGUACCGCUAAUGUUUUCUUGGUUAAAAAAAAACAGAUCACCAGCUAAAGUCUCGGCUAACGACUUGCAUGCCAGCUAUUUGCCUGCUACAACUCCACGCUCACGAGAUGCAGCUCAUUGAAUAAAUACAUUAGCAUCUAGCUACUCAUGUUUAGAUUAAGUUGAGGCUAAUGACUUGCAUUUCACCUAACCGCGAGUCUGCUACCAUGCUAAUUAAAGUCGAAGCUGAUGAGCAAGUCAGCUAACUAACAGUGUGCUAAGGGUCUAUAGAAAAAGCAGGACGCCUGCAGUGAAAAGCAAAGUCAUUUUCUCACAGUUCCCAGAUGUUCAUCGGACAAGAAAAACAAUUUCCGCAAGACCAAGAACGCAAGGGAAUCCCUAUCUUGCGCAUAAAAUGUUAUUAAGCCGUUCCCCUGGGAUGAAAUCAUCAAAUUGAGCAACGCCAACGGAAACUGUGGUUUUGCUUGCCACGAAUCUGCUUUGUAUUCAGACUUUGAAUGUGUUGUUGGACAUCAGUCAGUACGCAAACAUGCAUUACGUGUCGUCUUCAGUCUUUCACUUUUCUACACAGGGAAAGGCAUUGUUCUCGAAGAACAGCGGUCGCUCUCAUUGUGUCCAUUUGGACUUGUGAAACCGGUCUCCUCACCCACCUACUGCCGUGAUGUUCGCAUUCAGCUCCAGUUAAAUUUAUUCCCAGCCAUCUCAAUGAUGCAGUCAAGAUGUCGCGGUCUUCUUGCAUUCACGAUGCCAGCGAAGUGCUGAAACGUGUCCGGGAAGUAGCCAGUCCGUCAGUUGCGAUUGACUGCGGCAGCUCCGUCUCGUCUCUGCAGAGGAUAAGCACUAUAAAUCUCUUAGGUUGCACAAUGGCUUUGGGAACGUCGCCACUUGACAGCAAAUUUAAACAUUAUAUAUGACACUUUUUAUACUUAUCCGAAAGACUUUUUUGUUUUUUUUUCCAGAUAAAGAUAAUUGCUGGUGAGCAAUUUGUAGUAGUGAGCAUCAUCAGUGUUAACAUCUGAACAGUUGACUAUUAAAAAUAUAAUAUUAUAUAUUUCUAAUAUUUCAAAAUAACAAAUAUGGACAAAGAAUGCACAACUACCAGGGGGAAAAAGAGACAAUAAAUACUGCAACAAAAUUAUUAAUACAUUAUUCGGUUAGUGAUACAACGUGAUUGA